GAGGGUGUAGUUCAGUGGUAGAGUGCAUGCUUAGCAUGCACAAGGUCCUGAGUUCAAGCCCCAGUACCUCCA
RNAcentral lists this transfer RNA (72 nucleotides) under Camelus bactrianus (Bactrian camel). It matches the Rfam family "tRNA". Rfam says of the family: Transfer RNA (tRNA) molecules are approximately 80 nucleotides in length. Their secondary structure includes four short double-helical elements and three loops (D, anti-codon, and T loops). The record is from Rfam by way of RNAcentral. Lineage: Eukaryota; Metazoa; Chordata; Mammalia; Artiodactyla; Camelidae. RNAcentral also lists the same sequence under 2 other names.